Long non-coding RNA from Sorex araneus (European shrew), 3830 nucleotides. RefSeq lists it as uncharacterized. The record is from RefSeq and is a predicted model, not a curated record. NCBI's taxonomy places the organism in Eukaryota, Metazoa, Chordata, Mammalia, Eulipotyphla, Soricidae. The transcript is spliced from 3 exons.
GCAGCAACAGGGAGGGAAAGUCAGCUCGCAGUCAGGCACCUCGCUUCGCGCCUUCCCCCAGCCCACGCGGGCGGCCGCGCAGAGUGAGCGGCGGGCGUGGGCGCGGCGCGCCAGCGCCCUGAUCUGGCUCCAAGCAGCUGCACGCGGAGCUCGGCGGCCGCCUCCCUGCAGCGAGCAGUCCAGCCCGGAGGCCGCUCGGGAGCCAGGGCCCCGCCGGGAUGCGAGGAGCUGGGAGAGGCGCUCCAGUCCCCGCACUCCCGACCCCGCGCCCGCCCCUCCGCAGACCCUCAGCGCAGUCCUCGCGGCCAGGGUGCAGGGGCCCGCGCCAGACCGCCUCUUCAGCACUGAGACUGACCCGGACCUUAGGCUACACCCAUAUAUGUUCAGGUUUUAUCUGUGAUGCUGUGCUGAGGAAUCACUUCUGGUGGUGUUCAGGGAUAUGUGAUGAUGGGAUCGAAUCCAGGCCAACCAUGUGCGAGCUGAAGACAAGCAGCAUGCUUCUCAUCCCACUGCAGCAAGCACACUUCAGUGGCCCACCCUCCUCAGAGAAUGUCAAAGACAUGAAAGAAGAGAAAAGAGAAGGGAAAUCAAUUUGUUUUUUUUAAUCCGGGCAGGUCAAAAUUAAUUAUUGGAAGACAUGGUAAUAAAGGUUUGUUUUCAGAAUCAAUACCGGGGAGAUGGAGGAGCUUUCCUCUGAAAUAGUUUUUCCUGUUUCCUUUCUAAACCAUGUCAAUGUUUUCUGAAAGACAAUACUUUAUUCUUAUCAUUUGCAAGCUAACCUCACUGUGACAAAAAUACGUUGCUUAAUUAUGAAACUCUAGUAAUUACACACUGAGUACCCCUCUAGUGAAGGCCACUGACUCGAAUCCUGUUGGAAGCAAGUUCUUACUCUCUGUCCAUACCCCUUCAUUCCAUAUCUCCCUGGGACCCAUGGCAGGCUCAGAUCCAGUCCAGUUACAGAAAUAAGAUGAAAUCAUAUAUAUCACCAACGUAUCACUUGUCUUCCUUAAUUUUGUAUCAUCAAAUUGGAUAACCAUAUGCUUUUUCUUGUGUUAUGCAUGUCAGUAAUGGUAGCUAAUUUACCUCCAUCCCCCUUGAAAUUGGGAUCAUCUCAAAGACUAGGCCUACUCUUUUCCAGCAUAAUGAAGCAGACCAAGUUGAGUUUUGAGAAAUAACAGCAUGGUACUUUAUAACCUAGUCUGGAAAGGAAUAAGAAUGUCAUGUACUCUAUCUCUAAUGGACAUCACAGCUACCACAAAGACCAAGUCACCCAGCACCUUCUAGGAGCUAAACUCUCCACUGGGGGCAUUCCAUAUGUGAUUUCUAACAUUACCUUUGUUUUAGAAAGGACACUGACUCAGGAAAAUUAUGUGAUUUUUCAUAAGGUUCAAGCCAAAACAAGGAAAAGAACAGAGACUUAAAUGCCAUGUUUUGCUUCUCAAUAUACAUAAAACAAGAAGAAGGGGUGUCUCAAAUUGUAUAGGGAAGGUAAUAGCAAGAGAGAUGGAUUUGGAAAAGUAGAAUGUUUAGUUAAGGAUAGCUUGACCUGAGCUAAAAGUGAAAAAUUAAACAAUCUCCUGGGCUAGGCCAAAUGUAGCCUGUCUUUUGUGCUAGGAAAUAAAAAUGAAGAAGCAGGCCAGAUACUGGCCAGACUAACUGUUCAACUGGCCACGCUCCAGCAUGCAGCAGAGAAGCUGCCAACAACUGAUACACUUACUUCCUACAAGCAGUGAACAGGCAGAGGAAGGUUAAGGCAGUUACAGGUCUCCCACAGACCUGGGACCAUAAAGACUUUGGGAAUCAAAAAGUACCAGAGAAUAGUGCUUCUCAACCCAUUUCCAACUGUGGUAGCUCCCUUCUGACUCAUUUCUUUCCAAUGGUUCCAUCUUACCUGUUGACCCUCUAGUCUAUGCUGUGGCUUCCAUUUACAGGGUUUCUACCUGGGGCACACUUGUAAGAUCCUAGGGGCACAGUAGUGGGGAUGUGUGUGAUACAGUCCCAGUUGAGAAAUGUUAAACCAUUAUUAAUAGUAGAGUAAAACAAAAAAUCUUAAUCAAUUAAAACUUUUUUUUAAUGCUGCCAUAAAGAAUAAUGAAGAUGGUCCUGGAAUCCAAGGGAAAUCUUAGAUACAAGGAGAAAAAAGUCGUACAUCAACAAUUCAGCCAUCACAGUGCUGGCAUGUAGCUAUUUAAGGGAUUAUCUAGAUCUACACGUUGAAAGGAAACUAGAAACCGUGCUCUGGGCUGGAGCUGAGGACUCAAGGGGCCUGAUCCCAGAGCACCUAAAGUUUAAGUGAAUCAGAGAUUCCAUGGUGAAGUGGUUGAGAACCUGAACUCUAGAGCUUGAACCCCGUGACACCACUUACUGACAACUAGGCUACUGAACCUCUUUACUGCAGGCUUCCCAUUUUAUAUAAAGAAAAUUAUUGAAUCAACAUGAAUUGCAAAGUUACAAUGUUAUUCAUUGUUGAGUUUCAGGUGUACUCUGUUCCAACACCAAUCCCUUCACCAGUGGCCACCUGUCCACUUCUCUCUACAAAUGGUCCCAGUUUCCCUCCGGUCCCCAGCCUGCCUGUCCCAUGGCAGAGAUUUCUUUUCUCUUUACCCCCCAGCUUUUAGGAACUAUGGUUUAAAAUACUAUUAACUUAUACAGUAUUAUGCAUACCACUUUACCUCCUUUCAGCACCUAGCUCUGGUCCAGAGUGACCACUUCCCUCUCUAAUUGUCAUAGCAGUCCCUUCCUUGCCCUGUUGCUCUUCCCCAGCCAGUGGCAAACUUCUAAGUAAGGACAAGUUAUCCUGCUCCUUGGGGCUUCAGUAAUUUGCUCAUCAUGAUACUUUCCAAAUCCAUGGAUAAGCAAACUGCAUGACUUCAUUUUUCCUCAUGCUAGAGUACUAUCCCACUGCAUAUAUGUACAUAGCUUCUUUAUCCAGUCAUCUGUUCUUGGGCACUUGGGUUGUUUCCAGAUUUUGUGAAUAGUACUGCAAUGAACAUAGGAGUACAGAUACAUUUUCUGCACUGUGUUUGUGGAUCCUUAGUAUAUUCUCAGAAGUCGAAUUUCUGAGUCAUAUGGUAACUUGAUUCCUAGUUUUUUGAGGAAUGUACAUCUCACCUUCCAAAACACUUGAGUCAGUUGACAUUCCUACCAGAAGUGAAUGAGGGUCCUUUUCCCCCCACCUCAAUGUCAACAUGGUUGAUGUAGUUUUUAUUUAUUUUUUGGUGAGUGCCAGUCUCUGUGAUGUGAGGUGGUAUUUCACUGUCCUUUUGAUUUGUAUUUCCCUGAUGAUUAGUAAUAGGGGCUGGAGUGAUAGCACAGCAGUUGGGUGUUUGCCUUUCAAGUUUGAUUCCUCUGCCCCUCUCGGAGAGCCCGGCAAGCUACCAAGAAUAUUGAGCCCGAAAGGCAGAGCCUGGCAAGCUACCCAUGCGUAUUGGAUAUGCCAAAAACAGUAACAAUAAUUCUCUCAAUGAGAGACGUUACUGGUGCCUGCUUGAACAAAUCGAUGAACAACGGGAUGGCAGUGACAGUGAUUAGUAAUAGAAUGUAUCUUUCCAUAUGCCUUUUAACCAAUUGCAUUUCCUCAUUGAGGGAAUUUCUGUUCAUUUCUUCCCCUCAUUUUUUGACAGGGGUGUAUUUUUUUCUUGUAAAGUUCUAAUAGUGCUUUACAUACCUUGGCUACUAACCCUUUGUCAUAUGAGUGGUGGGCAGAUAAUUUCUCUUGUUCAUUGUAUUCUGGUUAUCAUUUCCUAAUUGGUGCAGAAGUUUCUUAAUUUAAUGCAGUCCCAUUUGUUUGUCUUUGCUUUCACUUGCCUGGUCAUUAGUGUUGUUUCAUC